RNAcentral lists this ribosomal RNA (468 nucleotides) under uncultured bacterium. RNAcentral describes it as "partial 16S ribosomal RNA". It matches the Rfam family "Bacterial small subunit ribosomal RNA", at positions 28 to 507 of the family's 1533-position model. The record is from RNAcentral.
GACGAACGCUGGCGGCGUGCUUAACACAUGCAAGUCGAACGGAAAGGCCCUGCUUUUGUGGGGUGCUCGAGUGGCGAACGGGUGAGUAACACGUGAGUAACCUGCCCUUGACUUUGGGAUAACUUCAGGAAACUGGGGCUAAUACCGGAUAGGAGCUCCUGCUGCAUGGUGGGGGUUGGAAAGUUUCGGCGGUUGGGGAUGGACUCGCGGCUUAUCAGCUUGUUGGUGGGGUAGUGGCUUACCAAGGCUUUGACGGGUAGCCGGCCUGGGAGGGUGACCGGCCACAAUGGGACUACGGUACGGCCCAGACUCCAACGGGAGGCAGCAGUGGGGAAUAUUGCACAAUGGGAGCAAGCCUGAUGCGGCGACGCCGCGUGCGGGAUGACGGCCUUCGGGUUGUGAACCGCUUUCGCCUGUGACGAAGCGUGAGUGACGGUAAUGGGUAAAGAAGCACCGGCUAACUACGUG